AUAAUAAUUUAUUUUAUUAUAAAAUUUUAUUAAAUUAAAAAAAUAUAUGAAAUUUAAAAAUUGAUUACAUAUUCUUAAAGAAAAUAAAUCAAUACUCAGUAUAAAAUAUUAAAAAUUAAAGAAAUUUAGAUUUAAUUAUUAAUUUUAGUAUAAACUAAUUAUGUGCCAGCAGUUGCGGUUAAACAUAAUAUACAAAUAAAAUUAUUUGGUUAUUAGUAAAAAUUAAAAAUUAUAUAGUAAUUUUUAUUUUAAGGUAAAAUUUAAUUUAAAAUUAUAGUUAUAAUUAUUUUAUUCUAUUAAAUUUUAGUUAAAACUAGGAUUAGAUACCCUAUUAUAAAAAUAUAAAAUAAUUACUAAAAAAUUAAUAGUUAUGUUCUUUAAAUUUAAAAAAUUUGGCGGUAUUUUAUUCUUAUUAGAGGAACCUGUUUUAUAAUUGAUAAUCCACGAUUAAUUUUACUUAUUUUAAAAAUUUAUAUAUCGCUGUCAGUAAAUAUAUUAAUAAAUUUAUUUUUUUUAAUUAAUUUUAAAAUUUAUGUUAAGUCAAGAUGUAGUUAAUAAUUAAGAAAAUAAUGGGUUACAUUAAAUUAUAUUUUUGGAUAAAAAAUGAAAAUUUUAUUGAAAUUGGAUUUAAAAGUAAUUUAAAUUAUUUAAUUUAUUUGAAUAAAGAUCUAAAAUAUGUACAUAUUGCCCGUCAUUCUUAUUAAAAAUAAGACAAGUCGUAACAAAGUAAAUGUACUGGAAAGUGUAUUUAGAAAGAA
This 758-nucleotide non-coding RNA is filed under the name Pseudoregma panicola. Lineage: Eukaryota; Metazoa; Arthropoda; Insecta; Hemiptera; Hormaphididae. The record is from RNAcentral.